GGAGGGGACCCGGCUGGAUGAGGAGCUUGUCUUGAAAACAAGUGGGCCGCAAGGCUUUGUGGGUUCGAGUCCCACCCCCUCCGCCU
RNAcentral lists this transfer RNA (86 nucleotides) under Candidatus Campbellbacteria bacterium CG11_big_fil_rev_8_21_14_0_20_44_21. RNAcentral's name for it is "tRNA-Ser". It matches the Rfam family "tRNA". From Rfam's summary of the family: Transfer RNA (tRNA) molecules are approximately 80 nucleotides in length. Their secondary structure includes four short double-helical elements and three loops (D, anti-codon, and T loops). The record is from RNAcentral. RNAcentral also lists the same sequence under 1 other name. Lineage: Bacteria; Candidatus Campbelliibacteriota.